Molecule: ribosomal RNA, 497 nt
Filed under: uncultured bacterium
Lineage: Bacteria
Description: partial 16S ribosomal RNA
Rfam family: Bacterial small subunit ribosomal RNA
Source: RNAcentral
GAUGAACGCUGGCGGCGUGCCUAAUACAUGCGAGUCGAGCGAACAGACGAGGAGCUUGCUCCUCUGACGUUAGCGGCGGACGGGUGAGUAACACGUGGAUAACCUACCUAUAAGACUGGGAUAACUUCGGGAAACCGGAGCUAAUACCGGAUAAUAUAUUGAACCGCAUGGUUCAAUAGUGAAAGACGGUUUUGCUGUCACUUAUAGAUGGAUCCGCGCCGCAUUAGCUAGUUGGUAAGGUAACGGCUUACCAAGGCGACGAUGCGUAGCCGACCUGAGAGGGUGAUCGGCCACACUGGAACUGAGACACGGUCCAGACUCCUACGGGAGGCAGCAGUAGGGAAUCUUCCGCAAUGGGCGAAAGCCUGACGGAGCAACGCCGCGUGGGUGAUGAAGGUCUUCGGAUCGUAAAACUCUGUUAUUAGGGAAGAACAAAUGUGUAAGUAACUAUGCACGUCUUGACGGUACCUAAUCAGAAAGCCACGGCUAACUACGUG